ACAGGUAUAGCUCAGUGGUAGAGUGCGUGCUUAGCAUACACGAGGUCCUGGGUUCAAUCCCCAGUCCCUCCA
Molecule: transfer RNA, 72 nt
Filed under: Camelus ferus (Wild Bactrian camel)
Lineage: Eukaryota; Metazoa; Chordata; Mammalia; Artiodactyla; Camelidae
Rfam family: tRNA
About the family: Transfer RNA (tRNA) molecules are approximately 80 nucleotides in length. Their secondary structure includes four short double-helical elements and three loops (D, anti-codon, and T loops).
Source: Rfam by way of RNAcentral